GAGCGAGAGAGAGUUACUUUCUCAAGCGAGUGGCGAACGGGUGAGUAACGCGUGAGGAACCUGCCUCAAAGAGGGGGACAACAGUUGGAAACGACUGCUAAUACCGCAUAAGCCCACGACCCGGCAUCGGGUAGAGGGAAAAGGAGCAAUCCGCUUUGAGAUGGCCUCGCGUCCGAUUAGCUAGUUGGUGAGGUAAUGGCCCACCAAGGCGACGAUCGGUAGCCGGACUGAGAGGUUGAACGGCCACAUUGGGACUGAGACACGGCCCAGACUCCUACGGGAGGCAGCAGUGGGGAAUAUUGCACAAUGGGGGAAACCCUGAUGCAGCGACGCCGCGUGGAGGAAGAAGGUCUUCGGAUUGUAAACUCCUGUUGUUGAGGAAGAUAAUGACGGUACUCAACAAGGAAGUGACGGCUAACUACGUGCCAGCAGCCGCGGUAAAACGUAGGUCACAAGCGUUGUCCGGAAUUACUGGGUGUAAAGGGAGCGCAGGCGGGAAGACAAGUUGGAAGUGAAAUCCAUGGGCUCAACCCAUGAACUGCUUUCAAAACUGUUUUUCUUGAGUAGUGCAGAGGUAGGCGGAAUUCCCGGUGUAGCGGUGGAAUGCGUAGAUAUCGGGAGGAACACCAGUGGCG
Molecule: ribosomal RNA, 635 nt
Filed under: uncultured Lachnospiraceae bacterium
Lineage: Bacteria; Bacillati; Bacillota; Clostridia; Lachnospirales; Lachnospiraceae
Description: bacterial SSU rRNA
Rfam family: Bacterial small subunit ribosomal RNA
Source: RNAcentral